This 203-nucleotide long non-coding RNA is filed under the name Elaeis guineensis (African oil palm). RNAcentral describes it as "long non-coding RNA (EGUI_LNC014856)". Lineage: Eukaryota; Viridiplantae; Streptophyta; Magnoliopsida; Arecales; Arecaceae. The record is from RNAcentral.
AGACCCUUUUGUGUCACCUUCAGGUAUCUAGUCGAUCUUGCAUCUUCUCUUUGCAGAUGACUGUCUGUCAGUAGGUCGGGCUUCUAUCUAAAAUGCGACUGGCUUAUGGAGAAUUCUGGAGGAGUACUGUGCUACAUCGGUCAGAAAGUGAACCUCCUUAAGUCUGCGGUUAUAUUUAGUCUAAGGACGCCAACCCAACUAUG